AAGAGUAUUUGAUCUUUCGAGAUCGAUUACCCGUCCUUGUGUCAUUUGAUUUUAAAAAACUCACACUUCCCAGGAGGUGUCGCAGCGAUGUGACCGCCUGGGGUUUUUUUUAUAAACUCUUGCAAGAAUUUUGAAGUCUGAUAAACAAAUACAAAAUGAAAAGCA
This 165-nucleotide unclassified non-coding RNA is filed under the name uncultured fungus. RNAcentral describes it as "sequence contains ITS1, 5.8S rRNA gene". Lineage: Eukaryota; Fungi. The record is from RNAcentral.